This 497-nucleotide ribosomal RNA is filed under the name uncultured bacterium. RNAcentral's name for it is "partial 16S ribosomal RNA". It matches the Rfam family "Bacterial small subunit ribosomal RNA", at positions 28 to 507 of the family's 1533-position model. The record is from RNAcentral.
GAUGAACGCUGGCGGCGUGCCUAAUACAUGCAAGUCGAGCGAACAGACGAGGAGCUUGCUCCUUUGACGUUAGCAGCGGACGGGUGAGUAACACGUGGAUAACCUACCUAUAAGACUGGGAUAACUUCGGGAAACCGGAGCUAAUACCGGAUAACAUGUUGAACCGCAUGGUUCAACAGUGAAAGACGGUCUUGCUGUCACUUAUAGAUGGAUCCGCGCCGCAUUAGCUAGUUGGUAAGGUAACGGCUUACCAAGGCAACGAUGCGUAGCCGACCUGAGAGGGUGAUCGGCCACACUGGAACUGAGACACGGUCCAGACUCCUACGGGAGGCAGCAGUAGGGAAUCUUCCGCAAUGGGCGAAAGCCUGACGGAGCAACGCCGCGUGAGUGAAGAAGGUCUUCGGAUCGUAAAACUCUGUUAUUAGGGAAGAACAAAUGUGUAAGUAACUAUGCACGUCUUGACGGUACCUAAUCAGAAAGCCACGGCUAACUACGUG